This 1173-nucleotide long non-coding RNA is filed under the name Homo sapiens (human). RNAcentral describes it as "HSALNT0288060". Lineage: Eukaryota; Metazoa; Chordata; Mammalia; Primates; Hominidae. The record is from RNAcentral.
CGCAAAUGCACAUGCACUAGUCUUGGAACACAAGGCCUCAUUGUGAGCUCUGGUUAGCAUCACAAUGAAUGUCACCAUUGCCUAGCAAAGAGUCCCUGCUGCUUGGUGGAGAAGGAGACCUCUGUGGAAGUGUGUUGGUUGUGGAGUCUUGCCUGUCUUCUCUAUGGUAUCCACGGGGUUGUCCCAUGAUCCUAGGAGAGGAAAAACAUAAGCCAGCCUGAAGAUACGUCAAGCACAGCCACAGGAAUAAACUGCAAAAUCCCUAAGAAUCCAAAAGGAUCUGCAGGAUUUCUCAAGCCUGCCUAGAUGUCGAAUCUUUGAACAUCGCUUGGACUCGUUCACAAGUCAGCUCAUUCUCUCAGAGAGCCCCUGUGAGGCCCAGGAAGAAGGGAGGCAGUGAGGUCAAGAGCCUGGCAAUCUUUCAUUGACACCCUCGUCUGGGGUCUCAGCGACAAUUUCCUGCGGCUUGGCAGAGAAAGAGACCUCUGUGGAGGUGCGUCAGUGGUGGACUCUCACCUGUUGGAUGCAGGGGAUAGUCCCAUCAUCCUAGGUGAGCGCAGACGUGAGCCAGCCUGAAGAAACGGCAGCCAUAGCCUCAGGAAUAAACCGCAAUAUCCCUAAUGAUCCAAAAAGAUCUGCAGGAUUUCUCAGGCCUGCCUACACAUCGUAGCGCCCUUGCCAGAACGGUGGUGCAGUGAUGUAUUACCUGCCAACAGCACAAUGUGAGGCAGGGUCCAGCCGUUCUGCCCAGCAUACAACUUGAGGGAGCAGCCCCUUUUGAAGACCUCCAGGUGGACUUCACAGGAAUGCCAAAGUGUGGAGUGAUCAUGUGUGGAUCAAGGACUGGAAUGUAGCCCACCCACAACUACGGUGGGAAGGACCCCAGACCAUCAUUUUGACGACUCUCACAGCAUGAAAAUAGAAGGAUUCCCAGCCUGGAUCAAUCACAGUCAUGUAUCAUCUACAUUGUCUGAGACCUGAGAGGUGAGACUGAGCCUGGUGGACCCCUGCAAAGUGACAUUGAGAAAGAUGGCAAGCCCUGCUACAGUCACAACCAGAAGCUUACUGUUGUAUGCAUGGCAAAAGAAUGAGGAUACUCAUCAUGGGAUUUAUUCUCCUUAAAAUUUGUACUUCUAUAAUAAAGACUGAUUUUUCCUGCAUGGAGGACUGUUC